GCCGAUAUAGCUCAGUAGGUAGAGCACUCCCUUGGUAAGGGAGAGGUCAGCAGUUCAAAUCUGCUUAUCGGCA
Transfer RNA from Kangiella koreensis DSM 16069, 73 nucleotides. It matches the Rfam family "tRNA". Rfam says of the family: Transfer RNA (tRNA) molecules are approximately 80 nucleotides in length. Their secondary structure includes four short double-helical elements and three loops (D, anti-codon, and T loops). The record is from Rfam. NCBI's taxonomy places the organism in Bacteria, Pseudomonadati, Pseudomonadota, Gammaproteobacteria, Kangiellales, Kangiellaceae.